ACGGAAGGCAGCAGUGGGGAAUAUUGCACAAUGGGGGAAACCCUGAUGCAGCGACGCCGCGUGAGUGAAGAAGUAUUUCGGUAUGUAAAGCUCUAUCAGCAGGGAAGAUAAUGACGGUACCUGACUAAGAAGCCCCGGCUAACUACGUGCCAGCAGCCGCGGUAAUACGUAGGGGGCAAGCGUUAUCCGGAUUUACUGGGUGUAAAGGGAGCGUAGACGGCAUAGCAAGUCUGAAGUGAAAAUCCAGAGCUCAACUCUGGAACUGCUUUGGAAACUGCCAGGCUAGAGUGCAGGAGGGGCAAGCGGAAUUCCUAGUGUAGCGGUGAAAUGCGUAGAUAUUAGGAGGAACACCAGUGGCGAAGGCGGCUUACUGGACUGUAACUGACGUUGAGGCUCGAAAGCGUGGGGAGCAAACAGGAUUAGAUACCCUGGUA
This 434-nucleotide ribosomal RNA is filed under the name uncultured Lachnospiraceae bacterium. RNAcentral's name for it is "partial 16S ribosomal RNA". It matches the Rfam family "Bacterial small subunit ribosomal RNA", at positions 341 to 792 of the family's 1533-position model. Lineage: Bacteria; Bacillati; Bacillota; Clostridia; Lachnospirales; Lachnospiraceae. The record is from RNAcentral.